CCAAUUUUUUCAACAAAUUCAGGGAAGAUUUGGUCACAUUGAAGAUACAGUAUUUUUGUAGUAUUUAUAAGCUGUCCUAUGUGAUAGACUUUUAGAAAGCAUUUUUUUUAUAUGAAGGUAAACCAGUCCAUUAUAUAGCUCGUUCAGACUCUGUGAACAUUACACCUACUAGGUUUCGAUUUAUCACGUGGCACAGAAUCUGCCUUUGCACUGAGUACCUUUUCAUUCGCAUCUCCUCUGCCUUAGUCACAGUGGCAGCAGUGCAGAAAACUCUCUCAAACCUCAGAAUAUAGUAGAAAUAAUUAAAGCUGUUGAAUGAGUCUUAAAAAUCAUACUACUGUUAAGUGGACCAAGUUUGGUGAAGCAGAAUGUGACAGAGGUUGAUUAAGGAAGGAGCAACUCAAGGACAUUGGGAAUGAUAACUUUUCCACUUGAGAACUACUUUAUGUUUUACUG
RNAcentral lists this long non-coding RNA (456 nucleotides) under Bos taurus (domestic cattle). RNAcentral describes it as "long non-coding RNA NONBTAT026012". The record is from RNAcentral. Lineage: Eukaryota; Metazoa; Chordata; Mammalia; Artiodactyla; Bovidae.